AGUAACCUAAUAUUUAGCU
Molecule: small nuclear RNA, 19 nt
Filed under: Arabidopsis thaliana (thale cress)
Lineage: Eukaryota; Viridiplantae; Streptophyta; Magnoliopsida; Brassicales; Brassicaceae
Description: snRNA_09164
Source: RNAcentral